This is a long non-coding RNA of Coregonus clupeaformis (lake whitefish), 684 nucleotides long. RefSeq lists it as uncharacterized. NCBI's taxonomy places the organism in Eukaryota, Metazoa, Chordata, Actinopteri, Salmoniformes, Salmonidae. The record is from RefSeq and is a predicted model, not a curated record. The transcript is spliced from 3 exons.
CUUACCCUGGCGUAACGUUUUGAUAACAGUGUAAAUCUCUCUAGGACAAGGUGACUUUGAUCCAUAUAUUCACCUGCAUUUAACCCCCAAAAAUGAAACGCUAAUUAGCUGCUAAUGUGGCUAUCCUAGUAACUUCAAGAGCCAGUGUCUUUGAAAAUACCCUACAACAAGGUACAUAAUGUUUCAAGUCUGAUAAACAAGCCUACUUUCUCAAAGUUCUGUUCCUACCAACUGUAUGGGAUGAACAGGAAAAUCUGUUAAGUGUGUACUAUAAAUGUGGUAACGGUUUGACAUCUGUGAUAUUCUCUGAAGUUGCAGAUGCAGAGGACUUGAGGCCAUGUGCCACCUCAAGCCAGAGCGACAUUAGUCCAAGUGGCAGCCAGGAAGAAGCUGGCCAAGACAGAGCAUCAGAAUCAGACCAAGAGCUGCCAUCCCUGCUUGAUGAGCCUGUGGCUUCUGAGAUGCCUGCUGGAUACAUUAAAGGUAUAUUAUGCUAGCCUAUAUGUUACAACAUGUUGCUUCUCUUGUAUUGUCAACAUCAAUUCCAAAUUGUUUGGCUGUCAGCAGAUACAUGGUUAUCAAUACUACUAAUAUAUAUGAAAGGUGGAUAUUUUGAUCGAGGUAUUUCACAUGGCCUUGAUCCAUGUCUUGCCUGGUACUCAUGGCUUGUAUUGUCACACUACU